RNAcentral lists this long non-coding RNA (552 nucleotides) under Capsicum annuum. Its description in RNAcentral is "long non-coding RNA (CANN_LNC015692)". The record is from RNAcentral. Lineage: Eukaryota; Viridiplantae; Streptophyta; Magnoliopsida; Solanales; Solanaceae.
UAACAGUAAUGCAACAAAAGAGGAGCAAAUUGUUACUUGUCCUUAUCUUUCCUAUUUUACCAAAAUCUUAGGUCUCCCCUCCCCCUCUUGAUAAGUGGCAAAUUUAUCACUCAUUGGCAUCCAAAUUCUUGUACUAUUUUGGCUAAGAUCAUAUAAAUGAGACUAAUUCUCCAUUUGAAUGCAAUAAUUUCUAGUUUUUGUGAUCUUACAGGACCUCUAUUGAAAAUAAAGGGAAAUCAAGUUGAAUGGGAAAGAAAAGAGGCAAAAAAAAGCAAAAGUUGGAGAUCAGGAGGCCCUCAAUUACUGCAAUUGCGAUCGCGGUCAAGCAAUCAGAGAUCAGAUGACCCUCAGUUAUCGGGAUCUCAACUCAAGAGUCGCGAUUGAGGUAGCGCGAUUGCGAUAGGACAGAAAAAGUUUAAGGGCAAAAUUGUAAUAUUUGACAUAUAUGGAAUUGGGGAUUAAAUAGGGGUUUUUAGCUAAUCUUUUAUCCAUCAUCAAUUUUUUAUCUUGGAAAAACUAUUAUACUACUCUUGAGCUAAGAAGACAUUAGAG